UCUGACAACAACUGUAUUCGUGUCUACAAAUGGUACAGCGUAAAGCCAAUAAAAGUAAUUAGUGAUGCUCGCGCUGCUGCCGUUAUGUGUUUUGCUGUUCAUCCCACCCUUCCAUAUCUUUUGUCAUCAUCUGAUGAUAAGACAAUCAAGCUCUGGAACUGGGAUUUGGACUGGUGUUGUACUCUGGUUUUUGUAGGGCAUUCUGCUUCUGGUGUGCACAUCACUUUCAAUCCCAAAGACAACAAUACUUUUGCUAGUGCAUCACUUGACAAUACCACAAAAAUAUGGAGUCUUGGUUCUCUGUUGCCACAAUUUACUUUAGUAGAGGAACAUCUGGAAGGACAUCGAAAAGGGGUAUUGUGUGUAGACUACUUUACUCUUAGCGAUAAACCAUACCUUAUCACUGGCUCGGCUGAUCAGACUGCUAAGGUGUGGGACUACCAAACUAAGAGAUGCCUUCAGAAACUUGAAGGUCAUACUGACGAUGUUACCGAGUGUGUUUCCAUCCAGUGAUCCCAAUAAUUAUUACAGUAUCCGAAGAUGCAACUGCCUACAUAUGGCAUGCCACCACGUUCAGGCUUGAGAAAACAUUGAAGUUGAAGUUUAGCCGUACGAGAUGUUAUGCUAUCGGACACAUGAAAGGUUCAUACCAGGUUGUAUUUGCACUACAAGAAAACAUGCAGUUUGAGACUACAGUUUAUGACUCUUUUUUUGGUCACAAAUAAUUGUAACGUUUUUGGGACGAAUUUAUAACUAAUAGAAGACUACAUAAACAAUGGUUGCAAAACAGUCCCAAAAUUACUACAAACAGUUGUAGUCUCCAAAUCGUCUCAUAUUUGUGACUAUUAUAAGACUAUUAUAAGACUAUAUCAUUGUAAUCCUAAAAUAAUCGUAAAUUGUGACGAAUUAGAGACGCUUUUUAUG
This is an RNA transcript of Camelina sativa (false flax), 924 nucleotides long. RefSeq lists it as uncharacterized. The record is from RefSeq and is a predicted model, not a curated record. NCBI's taxonomy places the organism in Eukaryota, Viridiplantae, Streptophyta, Magnoliopsida, Brassicales, Brassicaceae.